ACACAAGCCUACCCCAUUCUCGACCCUCAAGACUUGAAUCUCCCUCCCAAGAAGAGCAGCUCGGUUGCUGCAGAUAUGAGCAGAUCAGAUUUAGUUCUCGAAAUGGAACAAAAUGUCCUCAAUCUCCCCAACAGCCCAGAUAUUAGAAGAGAGCAGAAUGGUCAAAAAGGUAAGGCCGACCCUUUAAUCUCCAGCGAUUUGAUUGGCGCACAUAAGGGUGGAUUAGAUCUGGACAAAGACCUAAUGGUUCGAGAGCUUCAAGCAACCUUCGACUCCCAUCUUGCGUCCCCAAACCCAGAUAUGAUCAUUAACAAUAAAGCCGAUCACAGGGCAACACUAGAUCAGCUAAGUGAAGAGGAAGAAGAUGGACGAACACAGCAAGAACACCCAGAUCUGACCAGUGAAGAAGAUCAUGGACUCUCUAGUUCCUUUCAGCGACACCCACGACCUCGAGUUGCAGCAAUACGCCAAAGAGGUAGCUUUCCUAAUCAAAACCAGAACACAUACCGGUCUGAUAUGCUCAAAUCUCCAGUACGAAGUAGGAGUAUCGGUGCCUGUGACCUUCAAAGCGCCUCAGAGGAUCCUUUACAAAUUUCUCGAUCACCCAACAGCCACGUCGUUGGAGUAGAUAACAGGGGAAAAUCAAUUCUGCUACAAAGUCAAGCGGCUGGGGACCAACACCAACGAGCAACACCAGAUCUGCUCAGAGAGGAAGCCGUAUGUUCUCUCAGUUUUGAACAGCGACCCACCUGUCCGCAAGGAGCCAUAGCGUGUAUAUGCAGGGAUGCUCUGGGUAGAAUUGUUGAUGGGUUUACUAAAUCUAUAAAAGUGAGUUCGGCUGAACAAGCG
Molecule: long non-coding RNA, 849 nt
Filed under: Eucalyptus grandis
Lineage: Eukaryota; Viridiplantae; Streptophyta; Magnoliopsida; Myrtales; Myrtaceae
Description: long non-coding RNA (EGRA_LNC007517)
Source: RNAcentral